ACGGGUGAGUAACACGUGGGCAACCUACCUUAUCGACUGGGAUAACUCCGGGAAACCGGGGCUAAUACCGGAUAACAUCUAGCACCUCCUGGUGCCGGAUUAAAAGAGGGCUUCUUGCUCUCACGAUGAGAUGGGCCCGCGGCGCAUUAGCUAGUUGGAGAGGUAAUGGCUCCCCAAGGCGACGAUGCGUAGCCGACCUGAGAGGGUGAUCGGCCACACUGGGACUGAGACACGGCCCAGACUCCUACGGGAGGCAGCAGUAGGGAAUCUUCCGCAAUGGACGAAAGUCUGACGGAGCAACGCCGCGUGAGUGAUGAAGGGUUUCGGCUCGUAAAGCUCUGUUAUGAGGGAAGAACACGUACCGUUCGAAUAGGGCGGUACCUUGACGGUACCUCAUCAGAAAGCCACGGCUAACUACGUGCCAGCAGCCGCGGUAAUACUUAGGUGGCAAGCGUUGUCCUGAAUUAUUGGGCGUAAAGCGCGCGCAGGCGGCCUUUUAAGUCUGAUGUGAAAUCUUGCGGCCCAACCGCAUGCGGCCAUUGGAAACUGUAAGGCUUGAGUACAGGAGAGGAGA
RNAcentral lists this ribosomal RNA (574 nucleotides) under uncultured Bacillus sp. Its description in RNAcentral is "bacterial SSU rRNA". It matches the Rfam family "Bacterial small subunit ribosomal RNA", at positions 102 to 660 of the family's 1533-position model. The record is from RNAcentral. Lineage: Bacteria; Bacillati; Bacillota; Bacilli; Caryophanales; Bacillaceae.